AGUGAACGCUGGCGGUAGGCCUAACACAUGCAAGUCGAACGGCAGCACAGUAAGAGCUUGCUCUUACGGGUGGCGAGUGGCGGACGGGUGAGGAAUACAUCGGAAUCUACUUUUUCGUGGGGGAUAACGUAGGGAAACUUACGCUAAUACCGCAUACGACCUACGGGUGAAAGCAUGGGAUCUUCGGACCUUGCGCGAUUGAAUGAGCCGAUGUCGGAUUAGCUAGUUGGCGGGGUAAUGGCCCACCAAGGCGACGAUCCGUAGCUGGUCUGAUAGGAUGAUCAGCCACCCUGGAGCUUAGACACGGUCCAGACUCCUACGGGAGGGACCAGUGGGGAAUAUUGGACAAUGGUCGCAAGCCUGAUCCAGCCAUACCGCGUGGGUGAAGAAGGCCUUCGGGUUGUAAUGCCCUUUUGUUGGGAAAAAAAAGCAGCAGGUUAAUACCCCGCUGUUCUGACGGUACCCAAAGAAUAAGCACCGGCUAACUUCGUG
RNAcentral lists this ribosomal RNA (492 nucleotides) under uncultured bacterium. Its description in RNAcentral is "partial 16S ribosomal RNA". It matches the Rfam family "Bacterial small subunit ribosomal RNA", at positions 29 to 507 of the family's 1533-position model. The record is from RNAcentral.